CUCCAUCAGACGUCCACAUCUCUACGCGAUUUGAAAUAGUUGACACCAGAAAUUCAUCAAUGGAAGAUGGACGCCGAUUGCGUUCCGGCAGAACGUUACGUCUCAUCGGGUCGACAAAGCAAAUCUCGUGUGAAGUUCUUUUGCUGAUCGGCUUGAAGGUGAAGAAAAUGCUUGGCAAAAAUCCUUUAACUCACAGCUGGGUGAGAAAUCAAAUUGGAGGAGCGAAAUGAAGAGUUUUGGGAGAUGUAGUUGAGGCACGGUGACAUGCUGGGGAGGACAUUGUGCAGUCCGUCCCCACGCCUAACAAAUGGGUGGUGCCUAAAAUCACGGCGCAGCCCAUUGAGAUGUGUUGGUGUGUCAAUUUUGGAUGAUUUCUUAUAUUGGACAAGUUUGUGUUUUUUCCUUUUUUUUGUGAUGGAGAUUUUGUAUUGGUUAUGAGAUUUAUAUAGUGAGGAUUAUGUGGUUUACAACUUUCACGUACUGUGGGAAUAG
Non-coding RNA from Salvia hispanica, 492 nucleotides. NCBI's taxonomy places the organism in Eukaryota, Viridiplantae, Streptophyta, Magnoliopsida, Lamiales, Lamiaceae. The record is from RefSeq and is a predicted model, not a curated record.